GCGCCCAUAGCUCAGUGGUUAGAGCACCACGCUUAUAACGUGGGGGUCGAUGGUUCAAGUCCAUCUGGGCGCACUA
RNAcentral lists this transfer RNA (76 nucleotides) under Candidatus Falkowiibacteriota bacterium. RNAcentral's name for it is "tRNA-Ile". It matches the Rfam family "tRNA". From Rfam's summary of the family: Transfer RNA (tRNA) molecules are approximately 80 nucleotides in length. Their secondary structure includes four short double-helical elements and three loops (D, anti-codon, and T loops). Further hydrogen bonds mediate the characteristic L-shaped molecular structure. tRNAs have two regions of fundamental functional importance: the anti-codon, which is responsible for specific mRNA codon recognition, and the 3' end, to which the tRNAs corresponding amino acid is attached (by aminoacyl-tRNA synthetases). tRNAs cope with the degeneracy of the genetic code in two manners: having more than one tRNA (with a specific anti-codon) for a particular amino acid; and 'wobble' base-pairing, i.e. permitting non-standard base-pairing at the 3rd anti-codon position. The record is from RNAcentral. Lineage: Bacteria; Candidatus Falkowiibacteriota.